ACGCCGUAAACGAUGUCUACUUGGAGGUUGUGGCCUUGAGCCGUGGCUUUCGGAGCUAACGCGUUAAGUAGACCGCCUGGGGAGUACGGUCGCAAGAUUAAAACUCAAAUGAAUUGACGGGGGCCCGCACAAGCGGUGGAGCAUGUGGUUUAAUUCGAUGCAACGCGAAGAACCUUACCUACUCUUGACAUCCAGAGAACUUUCCAGAGAUGGAUUGGUGCCUUCGGGAACUCUGAGACAGGUGCUGCAUGGCUGUCGUCAGCUCGUGUUG
RNAcentral lists this ribosomal RNA (271 nucleotides) under Vibrio parahaemolyticus. Its description in RNAcentral is "partial 16S ribosomal RNA". It matches the Rfam family "Bacterial small subunit ribosomal RNA", at positions 797 to 1067 of the family's 1533-position model. Lineage: Bacteria; Pseudomonadati; Pseudomonadota; Gammaproteobacteria; Vibrionales; Vibrionaceae. The record is from RNAcentral.